AUGUACGAUAAUGUUGUGACAAGUGUUCGAACAAGUGAUGUCGACACUGAUGACUUCCCGAUUAAGAUAGGACUGCAUCAGGGGUCAGCUUUGAGCCCUUAUCUUUUUGCAUUGGUGAUUGAUGAGGUCACAAGGGAUAUACAAGGAGAUAUCCCAUGGUGUAUGCUCUUUGCAGAUGAUGUGGUGCUAGUUGACGAGAGUCGGACGGGGGUGAAUAGGAAGUUAGAGUUAUGGAGACAAACCUUGGAAUCAAAAGGGUUUAGGCUUAGUAGAACUAAAACCGAGUACAUGAUGUGCGGUUUCAGUACUACUAGGUGUGAGGAGGAGGAGGUUAGCCUUGAUGGCCAGGUGGUUCCCCAGAAGGACACCUUUCGGUAUUUGGGGUCAAUGCUGCAGGGGGAUGGGGGUAUUGAUGAAGAUGUGAACCAUCGAAUCAAAGUCGGAUGGAUGAAGUGGAGCCAAGCUUCUGGCAUUCUCUGUGACAAGAGAGUGCCACAAAAGCUAAAAGGCAAGUUCUACAGGACGUCGGUUCGACUCACAAUGUUGUAUGGCGCUGAGUGUUGGCCGACUAAAAGGCGACAUGUUCAACAGUUAGGUGUGGCGGAGAUGCGUAUGUUGAGAUGGAUGUGGGGCCACACGAGGAAGGAUCGAGUCUGGAAUGAUGAUAUACGAGAUAGAGUUGGGGUAGCACCAAUUGAAGAGAAGCUUGUCCAACAUCGUCUGAGGUGUUUUGGGCAUAUUCAGCGCAGGCCUCCAGAAGCUCCAAUGCAUAGCGGACGGCUAAAGCGUGCGGAGAAUGUCAAGAGAGGGCGGGGUAGACCGAAUUUGACAUGGGAGGAGUCCGUUAAGAGAGACCUGAAGGAUUAG
This 867-nucleotide ribosomal RNA is filed under the name Triticum aestivum (bread wheat). RNAcentral describes it as "partial small subunit ribosomal RNA". Lineage: Eukaryota; Viridiplantae; Streptophyta; Magnoliopsida; Poales; Poaceae. The record is from RNAcentral.